Molecule: ribosomal RNA, 250 nt
Filed under: uncultured bacterium
Lineage: Bacteria
Description: partial 16S ribosomal RNA
Rfam family: Bacterial small subunit ribosomal RNA
Source: RNAcentral
UACAGAGGGUGCGAGCGUUAUCCGGAAUCAUUGGGUUUAAAGGGUCCGUAGGCGGGCCUGUAAGUCAGUGGUGAAAUCUCCCCGCUCAACGGGGAAACUGCCAUUGAUACUGCAGGUCUUGAAUUAUUGGGAAGUAACUAGAAUAUGUAGUGUAGCGGUGAAAUGCUUAGAUAUUACAUGGAAUACCGAUUGCGAAGGCAGGUUACUAUCAAUACAUUGACGCUGAUGGACGAAAGCGUGGGGAGCGAAC